RNAcentral lists this ribosomal RNA (253 nucleotides) under uncultured bacterium. RNAcentral's name for it is "partial 16S ribosomal RNA". It matches the Rfam family "Bacterial small subunit ribosomal RNA", at positions 524 to 776 of the family's 1533-position model. The record is from RNAcentral.
UACGUAGGUGGCGAGCGUUAUCCGGAAUGAUUGGGCGUAAAGGGUGCGUAGGCGGCCUGCUAAGUGAGAUGUGAAAUACUCGGGCUCAACUUGAGUGCUGCAUUUCAAACUGGAAGUCUAGAGUGCAGGAGAGGAGAAUGGAAUUCCUAGUGUAGCGGUGAAAUGCGUAGAGAUUAGGAAGAACACCAGUGGCGAAGGCGAUUCUCUGGACUGUAACUGACGCUGAGGCUCGAAAGCGUGGGGAGCAAACAGG